RNAcentral lists this ribosomal RNA (244 nucleotides) under uncultured Lactobacillus sp. RNAcentral describes it as "partial 16S ribosomal RNA". It matches the Rfam family "Bacterial small subunit ribosomal RNA", at positions 118 to 355 of the family's 1533-position model. The record is from RNAcentral. Lineage: Bacteria; Bacillati; Bacillota; Bacilli; Lactobacillales; Lactobacillaceae.
UGGGGAACCUGCCCCAUAGUCUGGGAUACCACUUGGAAACAGGUGCUAAUACCGGAUAAGAAAGCGGAUCGCAUGAUCAGCUUUUAAAAGGCGGCGUAAGCUGUCGCUAUGGGAUGGCCCCGCGGUGCAUUAGCUAGUUGGUAAGGUAAAGGCUUACCAAGGCGAUGAUGCAUAGCCGAGUUGAGAGACUGAUCGGCCACAUUGGGACUGAGACACGGCCCAAACUCCUACGGGAGGCAGCAGU